Molecule: ribosomal RNA, 468 nt
Filed under: uncultured bacterium
Lineage: Bacteria
Description: partial 16S ribosomal RNA
Rfam family: Bacterial small subunit ribosomal RNA
Source: RNAcentral
GACGAACGCUGGCGGCGCGCCUAACACAUGCAAGUCGAACGGAGACAAGAGGCGCUUGCUUUUCUUGACUUAGUGGCGAACGGGUGAGUAACGCGUGAGUAACCUGCUCUGGAGUGGGGGACAACCGUUGGAAACGACUGCUAAUACCGCAUAAGCUCACGGAUCCGCAUGGAUCUGCGGGAAAAGGAGUUAUUCGCUUCAGGAUGGACUCGCGUCCAAUUAGCUAGUUGGUGGUGUAACGGCCCAGCAAGGCGACGAAGGGUACCCGGGCUGGGAGGCUGACCCACCGCGAUGGGGCUGAGGCCCGGCCCCGACUCCUACGGAACGCUGCAGUGUGUUAUAUUACACGAUGAGGGAAACCCUGAUGCAGCGGCGCCGCGUAGGGGGGGCUUGUUUUCGGAUUGUGAUCUCCUGUCGUACGGAGCGAUAGUGACGGUACCUGACAAGAAAGCACCGGCUAACUACGUG